Molecule: ribosomal RNA, 253 nt
Filed under: uncultured bacterium
Lineage: Bacteria
Description: partial 16S ribosomal RNA
Rfam family: Bacterial small subunit ribosomal RNA
Source: RNAcentral
UACGUAGGGGGCUAGCGUUGUCCGGAUUUAUUGGGCGUAAAGCGCGUGUAGGCGGCCAGGAAGGUCCGCUGUGAAAACUCGAGGCUCAACCUCGAGAUGUCGGCGGAAACUCUCUGGCUAGAGUCCGGAAGAGGAGAGUGGAAUUCCCGGUGUAGCGGUGAAAUGCGCAGAUAUCGGGAAGAACACCCGUGGCGAAGGCGGCUCUCUGGGACGGUACUGACGCUGAGACGCGAAAGCGUGGGGAGCGAACAGG